AAAAGGCAAAGCUAAAAAUAGUACAUACUGUAUGAUUCCAACUAUAACAUUCUGGAAAAGGCAAAACCAUGGAGACAAUAGAAAGAUCAGUGGUCCCCAGGGGUUAAGGGGAAGGGAGG
Non-coding RNA from Vicugna pacos (alpaca), 119 nucleotides. The record is from RefSeq and is a predicted model, not a curated record. NCBI's taxonomy places the organism in Eukaryota, Metazoa, Chordata, Mammalia, Artiodactyla, Camelidae.